Molecule: ribosomal RNA, 431 nt
Filed under: uncultured bacterium
Lineage: Bacteria
Description: partial 16S ribosomal RNA
Rfam family: Bacterial small subunit ribosomal RNA
Source: RNAcentral
CCUACGGGUGGCAGCAGUAGGGAAUCUUCCACAAUGGGCGAAAGCCUGAUGGAGCAACGCCGCGUGCAGGAUGAAGGCCUUCGGGUUGUAAACUGCUUUUAUCUGUGACGCGGUAGCAGAUGAAUAAGGACCGGCUAACUCCGUGCCAGCAGCCGCGGUCAUACGGAGGGUCCAAGCGUUAUCCGGAAUUACUGGGCGUAAAGAGUGCGUAGGUGGCAUGGUAAGUCGGUAGUGAAAGCGUGCGGCUCAACCGCAUAUACAUUACUGAAACUGCCAAGCUAGAGGACAAGAGAGGUACCUGGAAUUCCCAGUGUAGGAGUGAAAUCCGUAGAUAUUGGGAGGAACACCGAUGGCGUAGGCAGGGUACUGGUUUUCCUGACACUAAGGCACGAAAGCGUGGGGAGCGAACGGGAUUAGAUACCCUUGUAGUC